RNAcentral lists this long non-coding RNA (1785 nucleotides) under Marmota monax (woodchuck). The record is from RNAcentral. Lineage: Eukaryota; Metazoa; Chordata; Mammalia; Rodentia; Sciuridae.
GCUGGGGGCGAUUUGUCAAUUGCAGAGGUCAACAGGGCCAAGGGCCAGGACCACAGGAGGGUCUGGGUAGGCCCAGGGACAGGCUUGGAGCUGCCUUGGCAGGAUACUUGAGGUCCCUGUACCCCCAACACCACAGGCACAGCCCUGGGAGGCUGGAUCAAUUUUCAUUAAAUUGGUAAAUGUCUCUCUUCCCCUGCUCUCCUGGAAACCCUCCUUAAAAUCCAUGAUGUCCUGACAGUGGCAGCGGCCAGCAGCGGCUGGAGGUGCCCCCGCGCCCUUGGAGGGGUGCCUGGAUUCCUUGGAGGGUGGCAGGCGGCUCCGCUCUUGUCCCCUCUUGAGUACUCCUUGGGCAAGUCACGGGGAGGCAGCUCACCUCUCGGGGCAGCAUGGACAGGCAGCUCCUUUACCUGGCCCCUCCCCUCGGGCUCUUGCCUGACCCUGCUCUGGCCAGCGCCACAUGGCACCUCUGGUCCACUGUCCCUGCCCAGACCACAUUUUGCAAGUAGGUUCCCCUUGGAACUGAUGCUCCCCCGGGUGUCAGCCUCCUGAGUCUCUGGUUCCUCGUCUCACUCCAUUCACUCAACCAUCCAUCCAAAGGUCCUGAGGCCCGCUGGAGGCUCCCCAGCUGGGAGCUCACUGCCCAGAGGGGCUCAGACCUCAAAACUCCAGGGGUGGGCAGACUGGUGAGACCCCAUGGGUAAGAGGUGGGGACAGAAGAGCCCCGAACAGGAGCCCAGGCCACGGAGGAGAGGUCUGGGGGCUGGGGUGAGGCAGUGGAGGUGCAGCCACCAGUGGAUCUGGGGAAGGAGUGGAGCUGGCCGAGGGAGCUUGGGACCCCAGGUCCUGGGCAGAGCAGAACCGGGAGAGAGCUGGUGCUGGAGGACCCCACAGGCCCGGCCCCACCCCCACCCACGUGGCCCAGAGCCUGCAGCAAGAGGAAGGUUGCUGCGGUGGCCAGGCCAGGGGGGCACGAUGGUGGGCUAGGAAGAGGGACACACAGGGGUCCUCCCUCCUGUGCCAGAAAGGGGUGACUUUGCCCAGGGUCAUGAGCACAAGCAGUAGUGGGCAGCGUCAAAGCCCCGCGCUGCAGUCCCCAGUCAGCGGGGCUCUGGCUGCCCACCCACUCUCAGCACAACCUGCUGGAGCCAGAGGGGCACAGCCAAGGUCUCAGGGAUCAAAUCCCAAUUCAUUAGCGGGAUGGGAGGGGGUGUGGGCAGCUCUGCCCUGGCUGCGGUCUCGGGUGGACCAAGCAAAGCUGCUUCCCACGAUCGAUCUGUGGACAAUGAUGAGACCAACAGUCAACCACUUAGGCAGGCAGAGGGCAGGACAUAGCCACACAGUGACCUGAGCCUGGCUCCACCUCUGAGGGCUGCCCAGGGCCAAUGGGGGCCGAGUCACCACACCCCUCACUGCCCAGGAGCUUCCUGAAGAGGGCACCCCACCCCUCCUCUCUGUCCCCUGGUUCUCUCCUUUGUCCCUGCCUUGGUAUCUCUGUCUCUGGGUCUCACAGGGGGCAUCUUGGGGUCCCUGUCUCUUCUUCCUCCCUGGGCCUGGCCUGCCUGCCCCUGAUGUCUCUGGGGCUUCCCUCCCUCUCUGACUGGGUGCCCUCCCCUCAUGGUCUCCAAUAAGAUGACUGCCUCCUCCCUGUGUCCUCCCUUCUCAUGGCUGGGAAGGUCAGGAGUGCCCAGGGCUAGCCAGCUAGGAGCCGGGCAGGCGCUGCAGCCCCUCCCACCCACCACCUGGGGCCAGGAUGGAGUUCACCCACUGGGGAUGGCACCCCUGUCC